This 253-nucleotide ribosomal RNA is filed under the name uncultured bacterium. RNAcentral's name for it is "partial 16S ribosomal RNA". It matches the Rfam family "Bacterial small subunit ribosomal RNA", at positions 524 to 776 of the family's 1533-position model. The record is from RNAcentral.
UACGUAGGGGGCAAGCGUUGUCCGGAAUCAUUGGGCGUAAAGCGCGUGUAGGCGGUUCGGUAAGUCUGCUGUGAAAGUCCAGGGCUCAACCCUGGGAUGCCGGUGGAUACUGUCGGACUAGAGUACGGAAGAGGCGAGUGGAAUUCCCGGUGUAGCGGUGAAAUGCGCAGAUAUCAGGAGGAACACCAAUGGCGAAGGCAGCUCGCUGGGACGGUACUGACGCUGAGACGCGAAAGCUAGGGGAGCAAACGGG